AGUGAACGCUGGCGGUAGGCCUAACACAUGCAAGUCGAACGGCAGCACAGUAAGAGCUUGCUCUUACGGGUGGCGAGUGGCGGACGGGUGAGGAAUACAUCGGAAUCUACUUUUUCGUGGGGGAUAACGUAGGGAAACUUACGCUAAUACCGCAUACGACCUACGGGUGAAAGCAGGGGAUCUUCGGACCUUGCGCGAUUGAAUGAGCCGAUGUCGGAUUAGCUAGUUGGCGGGGUAAAGGCCCACCAAGGCGACGAUCCGUAGCUGGUCUGAGAGGAUGAUCAGCCACACUGGGACUGAGACACGGUCCAGACUCCUACGGGAGGCAGCAGUGGGGAAUAUUGGACGAUGGGCGCAAGCCUGAUCCAGCCAUACCGCGUGGGUGAAGAAGGCCUUCGGGUUGUAAAGCCCUUUUGUUGGGAAAGAAAAGCAGCAGGUUAAUACCCCGCUGUUCUGACGGUACCCAAAGAAUAAGCACCGGCUAACUUCGUG
This 492-nucleotide ribosomal RNA is filed under the name uncultured bacterium. RNAcentral's name for it is "partial 16S ribosomal RNA". It matches the Rfam family "Bacterial small subunit ribosomal RNA", at positions 29 to 507 of the family's 1533-position model. The record is from RNAcentral.